Molecule: ribosomal RNA, 426 nt
Filed under: uncultured bacterium
Lineage: Bacteria
Description: bacterial SSU rRNA
Rfam family: Bacterial small subunit ribosomal RNA
Source: RNAcentral
GGGGAAUUUUGGACAAUGGGCGCAAGCCUGAUCCAGCAAUGCCGCGUGCAGGAUGAAGGCCUUCGGGUUGUAAACUGCUUUUCUACGGAACGAAACGGCUCUGUCUAAUACAUGGGGCUAAUGACGGUACCGUAAGAAUAAGCACCGGCUAACUACGUGCCAGCAGCCGCGGUAAUACGUAGGGUGCAAGCGUUAAUCGGAAUUACUGGGCGUAAAGCGUGCGCAGGCGGUGAUGUAAGACAGGUGUGAAAUCCCCGGGCUUAACCUGGGAAUUGCAUUUGUGACUGCAUCGCUGGAGUGCGGCAGAGGGGGAUGGAAUUCCGCGUGUAGCAGUGAAAUGCGUAGAGAUGUGGAGGAACACCAAUGGCGAAGGCAGCCCCCUGAGUGGAUACUGACGCUCAUGCACGAAAGCGUGGGUAGCAAACA